UGGUCUAUGGUGUAAUGGUAACACAGCAGAUUUUGGUUCUGUUAUUCUAGGUUCGAGUCCUAGUAGACCAACCU
RNAcentral lists this transfer RNA (74 nucleotides) under Capnocytophaga sp. oral taxon 332 str. F0381. RNAcentral's name for it is "tRNA-Gln". It matches the Rfam family "tRNA". Rfam says of the family: Transfer RNA (tRNA) molecules are approximately 80 nucleotides in length. Their secondary structure includes four short double-helical elements and three loops (D, anti-codon, and T loops). Further hydrogen bonds mediate the characteristic L-shaped molecular structure. tRNAs have two regions of fundamental functional importance: the anti-codon, which is responsible for specific mRNA codon recognition, and the 3' end, to which the tRNAs corresponding amino acid is attached (by aminoacyl-tRNA synthetases). tRNAs cope with the degeneracy of the genetic code in two manners: having more than one tRNA (with a specific anti-codon) for a particular amino acid; and 'wobble' base-pairing, i.e. permitting non-standard base-pairing at the 3rd anti-codon position. Lineage: Bacteria; Pseudomonadati; Bacteroidota; Flavobacteriia; Flavobacteriales; Flavobacteriaceae. The record is from RNAcentral.